UAGGGAAUCUUCGGCAAUGGACGAAAGUCUGACCGAGCAACGCCGCGUGAGUGAAGAAGGUUUUCGGAUCGUAAAACUCUGUUGUUAGAGAAGAACAAGGACGUUAGUAACUGAACGUCCCCUGACGGUAUCUAACCAGAAAGCCACGGCUAACUACGUGCCAGCAGCCGCGGUAAAACGUAGGUGGCAAGCGUUGUCCGGAUUUAUUGGGCGUAAAGCGAGCGCAGGCGGUUUCUUAAGUCUGAUGUGAAAGCCCCCGGCUCAACCGGGGAGGGUCAUUGGAAACUGGGAGACUUGAGUGCAGAAGAGGAGAGUGGAAUUCCAUGUGUAGCGGUGAAAUGCGUAGAUAUAUGGAGGAACACCAGUGGCGAAGGCGGCUCUCUGGUCUGUAACUGACGCUGAGGCUCGAAAGCGUGGGGAGCAAACAGG
This 429-nucleotide ribosomal RNA is filed under the name Gemmatimonadota bacterium. RNAcentral describes it as "Gemmatimonadetes bacterium partial 16S ribosomal RNA". It matches the Rfam family "Bacterial small subunit ribosomal RNA", at positions 355 to 776 of the family's 1533-position model. Lineage: Bacteria; Pseudomonadati; Gemmatimonadota. The record is from RNAcentral.